ACAUACGACCAUAGGCGCCAGAAAACACGGGAUCCCGUCCGCUCUCCCCUAGUUAACCUCGCGACCGCUGAACUAGUAGUUGGGUCGGUGACGACCAGCGAAUCCUCGGUGUUGUAUGUU
Molecule: ribosomal RNA, 120 nt
Organism: Chaetomium globosum CBS 148.51
Lineage: Eukaryota; Fungi; Ascomycota; Sordariomycetes; Sordariales; Chaetomiaceae
Source: Rfam